Molecule: small nuclear RNA, 18 nt
Filed under: Arabidopsis thaliana (thale cress)
Lineage: Eukaryota; Viridiplantae; Streptophyta; Magnoliopsida; Brassicales; Brassicaceae
Description: snRNA_18806
Source: RNAcentral
GAACUAUACAUUUAAAAG